GGCUAUAGCUCAGCUGGGAGAGCGCUUGCAUGGCAUGCAAGAGGUCAGCGGUUCGAUCCCGCUUAGAU
RNAcentral lists this transfer RNA (68 nucleotides) under Salmonella enterica subsp. enterica serovar Enteritidis. RNAcentral describes it as "tRNA-Ala". It matches the Rfam family "tRNA", at positions 5 to 66 of the family's 71-position model. Rfam says of the family: Transfer RNA (tRNA) molecules are approximately 80 nucleotides in length. Their secondary structure includes four short double-helical elements and three loops (D, anti-codon, and T loops). Lineage: Bacteria; Pseudomonadati; Pseudomonadota; Gammaproteobacteria; Enterobacterales; Enterobacteriaceae. The record is from RNAcentral.